CCAAGUGGCGACUCUGAAAAUCUCUUAAAUAAUUGAAUACCAUUUUGAUUGUCCUUUAAUUGGAAUCCCUUAUCUGUGCCCUUCGCCGGGUGUAGUGUUAAAAAUGAGGUGUGACAGCUCUGGCGACUCUGCUGGGGAAUUGAGCCCAGAAUCUCUGGUUCAGGGUUCAAGAAUUCGAGCUUUAAAUAAUUGUUGUAUCUGGCUUUAUCAUUAUCUGAUUUUAUUGCAUAAUUGUGCCCGAUGUGCUAAUUGUUAUUUUUUACCGUUUUAAUAUUAUUUGAAUUGUGUAUAAACUGCCGCGAAGCCGUUCUCUUCUAAUUUUCGGGGAUGUGCUCGCUGGUCGAGACUCCCUAUUCUGUUAGUGUCAUACCUUGUAAUAAGAAAGAUGCUCGGACAAGUUACAA
RNAcentral lists this long non-coding RNA (404 nucleotides) under Nicotiana benthamiana. RNAcentral's name for it is "long non-coding RNA (NBEN_LNC038835)". Lineage: Eukaryota; Viridiplantae; Streptophyta; Magnoliopsida; Solanales; Solanaceae. The record is from RNAcentral.